UCUCCGUAGGUGAACCUGCGGAGGGAUCAUUACAGAGUUCAUGCCCUACCGGGUAGAUCUCCCACCCUAUGUUAUUAUUACUUUGUUGCUUUGGCGGGCCGUUAGGCUCCGGCCCGACUACCGGCCCCGGCUGGUAAGCGCCCGCCAGAGGACCCAAACCCUGAAUAUUAGUGUCGUCUGAGUACUAUAUAAUAGUUAAAACUUUCAACAACGGAUCUCUUGGUUCUG
This 228-nucleotide unclassified non-coding RNA is filed under the name plant metagenome. RNAcentral's name for it is "partial contains small subunit ribosomal RNA, internal transcribed spacer 1, and 5.8S ribosomal RNA". The record is from RNAcentral.